RNAcentral lists this ribosomal RNA (292 nucleotides) under uncultured bacterium. Its description in RNAcentral is "partial 16S ribosomal RNA". It matches the Rfam family "Bacterial small subunit ribosomal RNA", at positions 334 to 643 of the family's 1533-position model. The record is from RNAcentral.
GUGCCUACGGGGCGCAGCAGUGGGGGAUAUUGCACAAUGGGGGGAACCCUGAUGCAGCGACGCCGCGUGGGUGAAGAAGUAUUUCGGUAUGUAAAGCCCUAUCGGCAGGGAAGAAAUUGGACGGUACCUGACUAAGAAGCCCCGGCUGACUACGUGCCAGCAGCCGCGGUAAUACGUAGGGAGCAAGCGUUAUCCGGAUUUACUGGGUGUAAAGGGCGCGUAGGCGGGAUGGCAAGUCAGAUGUGAAAUCCAGGGGCUCAACCCCUGAACUGCAUUUGAAACUGUCGUUCUU